RNAcentral lists this transfer RNA (90 nucleotides) under Rickettsiales bacterium. RNAcentral describes it as "tRNA-Ser". It matches the Rfam family "tRNA". Rfam says of the family: Transfer RNA (tRNA) molecules are approximately 80 nucleotides in length. The record is from RNAcentral. Lineage: Bacteria; Pseudomonadati; Pseudomonadota; Alphaproteobacteria; Rickettsiales.
GGAAAGGUGUCCGAGUGGUUUAAGGAGCACGCCUGGAACGCGUGUAUGGGGGCAACCUCAUCGUGGGUUCGAAUCCCACCCUUUCCGCCA